Molecule: ribosomal RNA, 429 nt
Filed under: Bacteroidota bacterium
Lineage: Bacteria; Pseudomonadati; Bacteroidota
Description: Bacteroidetes bacterium partial 16S ribosomal RNA
Rfam family: Bacterial small subunit ribosomal RNA
Source: RNAcentral
UAGGGAAUCUUCCGCAAUGGACGCAAGUCUGACGGAGCAACGCCGCGUGAGUGAAGAAGGAUUUCGGUUCGUAAAACUCUGUUGUUAGAGAAGAACAGCGCAUAGAGUAACUGUUAUGCGUGUGACGGUAUCUAACCAGAAAGCCACGGCUAACUACGUGCCAGCAGCCGCGGUAAUACGUAGGUGGCAAGCGUUGUCCGGAUUUAUUGUGCGUAAAGCGAGCGCAGGCGGUCAAUUAAGUCUGAUGUGAAAGCCCCCGGCUCAACCGGGGAGGGUCAUUUGAAACUGGUUGACUUGAGUGCAGAAGAGGAGAGUGGAAUUCCAUGUGUAGCGGUGAAAUGCGUAGAUAUAUGGAGGAACACCAGUGGCGAAGGCGACUCUCUGGUCUGUAGCUGACGCUGAGGCUCGAAAGCGUGGGUAGCAAACAGG